Molecule: transfer RNA, 71 nt
Filed under: Cavia porcellus (domestic guinea pig)
Lineage: Eukaryota; Metazoa; Chordata; Mammalia; Rodentia; Caviidae
Rfam family: tRNA
About the family: Transfer RNA (tRNA) molecules are approximately 80 nucleotides in length.
Source: Rfam by way of RNAcentral
GGGGAUUUAGCUCAGUGACAUAAGCGCCUGCCUUGCAAGCAGGCAGUCGUGAGUUCGAUUCCCAGUACCGA